This 253-nucleotide ribosomal RNA is filed under the name uncultured bacterium. RNAcentral's name for it is "partial 16S ribosomal RNA". It matches the Rfam family "Bacterial small subunit ribosomal RNA", at positions 524 to 777 of the family's 1533-position model. The record is from RNAcentral.
UACGUAGGGGGCAAGCGUUGUCCGGAAUCAUUGGGCGUAAAGCGCGUGUAGGCGGUCCGGUAAGUCCGCUGUGAAAGUCCAGGGCUCAACCCUGGGAUGCCGGUGGAUACUGUCGGGCUAGAGUACGGAAGAGGCGAGUGGAAUUCCCGGUGUAGCGGUGAAAUGCGCAGAUAUCGGGAGGAACACCAAUUGCGAAGGCAGCUCGCUGGGACGUUACUGACGCUGAGACGCGAAGGCGUGGGAGCAAACAGGG